This 220-nucleotide long non-coding RNA is filed under the name Nicotiana benthamiana. RNAcentral describes it as "long non-coding RNA (NBEN_LNC033051)". The record is from RNAcentral. Lineage: Eukaryota; Viridiplantae; Streptophyta; Magnoliopsida; Solanales; Solanaceae.
AUGGUGAAGAGUAUUCUCCCACAACGUCUGUUGGCAGGUCGGCUUCCGGAGUUUGAGUCUCAAGCUAGGGAUCACCACUUCCUUUAGCAGAAGCUCCGAUAUGAAAUAGCAAUCGUUAUAGAUAGACUUUGAGAUGCUUGAAUAGCUGCAGCCUAGCCUUUUCGUUAACUGGAUCUCCUACCUCCACUGUUAAUAAGUGGCGGCAAGACUCGAAUCCUGG